This 536-nucleotide ribosomal RNA is filed under the name uncultured bacterium. Its description in RNAcentral is "bacterial SSU rRNA". It matches the Rfam family "Bacterial small subunit ribosomal RNA", at positions 338 to 864 of the family's 1533-position model. The record is from RNAcentral.
CCUACGGGAGGCAGCAGUGGGGAAUCUUCCGCAAUGGACGAAAGUCUGACGGAGCAACGCCGCGUGUACGACGAAGGCCUUCGGGUUGUAAAGUACUGUCUUCAGGGACGAAUGGUAGGUGUGUAAAUAAUGCGCUUACAUGACGGUACCUGAGGAGGAAGCCCCGGCUAACUACGUGCCAGCAGCCGCGGUAAUACGUAGGGGGCAAGCGUUGUCCGGAAUCAUUGGGCGUAAAGGGCGCGUAGGCGGAUAUUUAAGUCUGGUGUGAAAACCUAGGGCUCGACCCUGGGACUGCAUCGGAAACUGGGUAUCUUGAGGACAGGAGAGGAAAGUGGAAUUCCACGUGUAGCGGUGAAAUGCGUAGAUAUGUGGAGGAACACCAGUGGCGAAGGCGACUUUCUGGACUGUAACUGACGCUGAGGCGCGAAAGCGUGGGGAGCAAACAGGAUUAGAUACCCUGGUAGUCCACGCCGUAAACGAUGAGUCUAUGUGUAUUAGGGUAUCGACCCCUUCUGUGCCGCAUUUAACACAAUAAU